Molecule: unclassified non-coding RNA, 312 nt
Filed under: Mycena sp.
Lineage: Eukaryota; Fungi; Basidiomycota; Agaricomycetes; Agaricales; Mycenaceae
Also listed under: 2 other names
Description: partial contains 5.8S ribosomal RNA, internal transcribed spacer 2, and large subunit ribosomal RNA
Rfam family: 5.8S ribosomal RNA (bases 1-52)
Source: RNAcentral
AACGCACCUUGCGCCCUUUGGUAUUCCGAAGGGCAUGCCUGUUUGAGUGUCAUUAAAUUCUCAACCUUGCAAGCUUUUUUGCUAGCGAGGCUUGGAUGUGAGGGCUUUUGCUGGCUUCCUUCAUUUGGAUGGUCUGCUCCCUUUAAAUUCAUUAGUGGAUUCCUUUGUGGAUGGUCACUUGGUGUGAUAAUUAUCUACGCCGCCUGACUCUGAAACAAGACUUGUGGGGACCUGCUCAUAACCGUCUCUUCAAGAGACAAUCUUUAUUGACAAUUUGACCUCAAAUCAGGUAGGACUACCCGCUGAACUUAA